GAUGAACGCUGGCGGCGUGCCUAAUACAUGCAAGUCGAGCGAACGGACGAGAAGCUUGCUUCUCUGAUGUUAGCGGCGGACGGGUGAGUAACACGUGGAUAACCUACCUAUAAGACUGGGAUAACUUCGGGAAACCGUAGCUAAUACCGGAUAAUAUUUUGAACCGCAUGGUUCAAAAGUGAAAGACGGUCUUGCUGUCACUUAUAGAUGGAUCCGCGCUGCAUUAGCUAGUUGGUAGGGUAACGGCUUACCAAGGCAACGAUGCAUAGCCGACCUGAGAGGGUGAUCGGCCACCCUGGAACUGAGACACGGUCCCGACUCCUACGGGAGGCAGCAGUAGGGAAUCUUCCGCAAUGGGCGAAAGCCUGACGGAGCAACGCCGCGUGAGUGAUGAAGGUCUUCGGAUCGUAAAACUCUGUUAUUAGGGAAGAACAUAUGUGUAAGUAACUGUGCACAUCUUGACGGUACCUAAUCAGAAAGCCACGGCUAACUACGUG
Molecule: ribosomal RNA, 497 nt
Filed under: uncultured bacterium
Lineage: Bacteria
Description: partial 16S ribosomal RNA
Rfam family: Bacterial small subunit ribosomal RNA
Source: RNAcentral